This is a long non-coding RNA of Physeter macrocephalus (sperm whale), 1551 nucleotides long. RefSeq lists it as uncharacterized. The transcript is spliced from 3 exons. The record is from RefSeq and is a predicted model, not a curated record. NCBI's taxonomy places the organism in Eukaryota, Metazoa, Chordata, Mammalia, Artiodactyla, Physeteridae.
CAUUUCAACUGAUCCUCACGAUCGUGGGCACCAUUGCUGGCAUCCUCAUUCUUAGCAUGGUGAUUGCAUUGAUCUUCUCAGUGAGAUCAAAGAACAAAAGCAGGAAUGUGGAAGAAGAGAACUUGAUUGAGAAGCAUUUUCAAAAUCUGAAACUGCAGGAGACCGGCUUUAGCAAUCUAGGAGCAGACGGGAGCAUCUUCCCUAAGAUCAGGUUGAACCUGCCCAAAGAGAGUCAGCCACAGAAUCCCUACGUAGUCCAGGGUGGUAUACCCAACGCAGACUAUUAGAACGGUAAAAAUUUGGAACCAUCCAUGGCCCCUCAACCCAUCGUAUGAGCUUUUAUUUUGAGUGUUUCAAAGACUGAUGGAGAAGGGAGCAGCCAUGAAGAUCUGGCCUUUGGUAUUUCUCUUCCAUCCAGCCUCUCUGAAUGGAAGUUGUGACUGUUUGCAAUGAAUACAGCUUGUUUGCUAACUAAGUGCCUAUGAAAUUGAAUGCACAUAGGUGCUAUUAGUAAGCGUCUAUACUUAAGAUAGUUGACUUGCUCCAAUCAGUACAAUGGUUAGGUUUCUUUUUUUCUGGCCGUGCAGCAGUAAUCAUUCUAUCUAUUUAGAGGGAAGCUCCCCAGGAUUUUUCACUCCUGAAAGAGUCUAGAAGAAUGUUGCUUUGAGUUGAUACCCUGUACAUGAGUGACGUAUUCGGGGAGACCCUUACACAUCAGCUGUGGAGAUGAUCCCAGGAGAUGGGAGGAGAUACCAUCCUUGAAGAUGCUCGGGUUCAUUCUCUGGCAAGUUAAAACAGGGAAGCUCCUUCUUUUCCUCAAAUGUAGGGAUUCCAUUACCCUUGAACUGCCAGGAGCUUGUGACCUGGGCUCAAAUCAAGAGGACAGAUAAAAAGAGGCAGGUCUCUUAGCUUUUUGGGAGCAGUUACUGGCAAUCCAGGGCCUUCUUACUGUGAACUAGAAGGCCUGAACUAGAAAUGUCCUCUGCAGGGGUACGUUCUAGAGGUUUUGAAAUGCCGGUAGGUAGGGGAGUCAGUGGGGGAAAAUGAACCAGGAGGAGGAGGAACAGAGGUAGAAGGAAGCUGGGCUGGUAGGCUGAGUAAGGGAGAAGGUACCCAGGGCCCACCUUCCUCCUCAGAGUCCCCUCCUCAAUGAGCAAAUGGGCAUUUCCUCUAAUUCAUGCCCUACCCAAGAUUUAGAACCUAGGAGAGGAUGUGAAGACAAACCCCCCAGAGCAAGAGCUUGAAGUCACUUUUGAAUUGUAGACAUUCUGACUAGCUGAUGGUGAGAGAGGGAGCUUGUGCUCUGGAUCCAAAUGUUCAGCCUCGUGAUACAGACUCCAGAGGUAUUCCACCAAAGCCUCAGCCUUGCCUGGGGACAGAGCCUUAGCCGUGGUCACUAACACACACACAGCCAAGAAUGGGGGCAGCCACCUCCAGCACAGUCUUUCUUUAAUGUUAGUAGCAUCCUUGUUUAUGUCUAGUGUCUGGUCUUUUUGCAAGUUAUUUUUAUUUGUUGUUAUUAUUAUUAUUUGUUCUUGACUGUUAACUAUA